UACGAAGGGGGCUAGCGUUGUUCGGAAUCACUGGGCGUAAAGCGCACGCAGGCGGUUCGUUAAGUCAGAUGUGAAAGCCCCGGGCUCAACCUGGGAACUGCAUUUGAAACUGGCGGGCUUGAGUAUGGCAGAGGGGGGUGGAAUUCCGCGUGUAGCAGUGAAAUGCGUAGAGAUGCGGAGGAACACCGAUGGCGAAGGCAGCCCCCUGGGCCAAUACUGACGCUCAGGCACGAAAGCGUGGGGAGCAAACAGG
Molecule: ribosomal RNA, 253 nt
Filed under: uncultured bacterium
Lineage: Bacteria
Description: partial 16S ribosomal RNA
Rfam family: Bacterial small subunit ribosomal RNA
Source: RNAcentral